UACGGAAUGGGCUAGCGGUGGUAGGGAUUACUGGACGUAAAGGGCGCGCUGGCGGCUGCUCGAGUCAGGCGUGAAAGGACUGGGCUCAACCCGGGAAUUGCGCUUGAGACUGGGCUGGCUUGAGUGCGGGAGAGGAUGGUGGAAUUCCCAGUGUAGAGGUGAAAUUCGUAGAUAUUGGGAAGAACACCGGUGGCGAAGGCGCCUCACUGGAUCGAUACUGACGCUGAGGAGCGAAAGCGUGGCGAGCAAACAGG
Molecule: ribosomal RNA, 254 nt
Filed under: uncultured bacterium
Lineage: Bacteria
Description: partial 16S ribosomal RNA
Rfam family: Bacterial small subunit ribosomal RNA
Source: RNAcentral